This 391-nucleotide ribosomal RNA is filed under the name uncultured bacterium. RNAcentral's name for it is "bacterial SSU rRNA". It matches the Rfam family "Bacterial small subunit ribosomal RNA", at positions 29 to 420 of the family's 1533-position model. The record is from RNAcentral.
AUUGAACGCUGGCGGAAUGCUUUACACAUGCAAGUCGAGCGGCAGCGCGGGGCAACCUGGCGGCGAGCGGCGAACGGGUGAGUAAUGCAUCGGAACGUACCCCGUCGUGGGGGAUAACUACCCGAAAGGGUAGCUAAUACCGCAUACGGACCUGAGGGUGAAAGCGGGGGACCGAAAGGCCUCGCGCGAUGGGAGCGGCCGAUGCCGGAUUAGCUAGUUGGUAGGGUAAAGGCCUACCAAGGCGACGAUCCGUAGCUGGUCUGAGAGGACGACCAGCCACACUGGAACUGAGACACGGUCCAGACUCCUACGGGAGGCAGGCAGUGGGGAAUUUUGGACGAAUGGGCGAAAGCCUGAUCCAGCCAUUCCGCGUGAGUGAAGAAGGCCUCGG